UAGAAUUCCCCCAACUGGUGGACGCAUUCCAUGCUUCUUAGACCUUGUUUUGGAAAAGGACAUGGGGUUCAUCUCCAGAGGACAGAGCGAUGGACACAAAGACACGUUUCCCAACUGUAAAGGAGCACAACAAAAUGGAAGCCAUGAAAUCAAUGCACAGCUAACUACUCAAGUGUCCUGGCGAGGUGGAGGUAUCUAGAAGGAGGAGGAGACAAGGUUUCUCCGUGUAACAGGCCUGGCUUUCCUGGAACUUGCUCUGUAGACCAGACUGGUCUUGAACUCAUGGAGAUCCACCUGCUUCUGCUACCUGAGUGCUGGGAUUAAAGGUGUGCACCACCACCGCCUGGCAAGUAUAAUCAUCUUUAUAACAAAAGGGAAAUAAAACAAUAUGUCUAUCUCAAGAACUCAAGGAAGCCAUUAGGUAACUUAAGAAGCCACCAAAGAGUUUGAAAAAGCCUCAGCUACAGGAUCAGCGCAAAGUUAAAGGUCAGCUUUGGCCUUGAAUUUAACUUUCAGAGCACAGUUCAUUCUUAUGUAAAAAUGGAUGUGGUGAUAUGUGUACAUGAGGGUAUUGUCUAGAUUCGUGAUGUCAUAGGGCACACAGUAGGUUUUGAAUAAAAGGAAGCUGUAGUACCUUUA
Peromyscus eremicus (cactus mouse) is the source of this 639-nucleotide long non-coding RNA. RefSeq lists it as uncharacterized. The record is from RefSeq and is a predicted model, not a curated record. Lineage: Eukaryota; Metazoa; Chordata; Mammalia; Rodentia; Cricetidae. The transcript is spliced from 3 exons.